This 497-nucleotide ribosomal RNA is filed under the name uncultured bacterium. RNAcentral's name for it is "partial 16S ribosomal RNA". It matches the Rfam family "Bacterial small subunit ribosomal RNA", at positions 28 to 507 of the family's 1533-position model. The record is from RNAcentral.
GAUGAACGCUGGCGGCGUGCCUAAUACAUGCAAGUCGAGCGAACAGACGAGGAGCUUGCUCCUUUGACGUUAGCGGCGGACGGGUGAGUAACACGUGGGUAACCUACCUAUAAGACUGGGAUAACUUCGGGAAACCGGAGCUAAUACCGGAUAAUAUUUCGAACCGCAUGGUUCGAUAGUGAAAGAUGGCUUUGCUAUCACUUAUAGAUGGACCUGCGCCGUAUUAGCUAGUUGGUAAGGUAACGGCUUACCAAGGCAACGAUACGUAGCCGACCUGAGAGGGUGAUCGGCCACACUGGAACUGAGACACGGACCAGACUCCUACGGGAGGCAGCAGUAGGGAAUCUUCCGCAAUGGGCGAAAGCCUGACGGAGCAACGCCGCGUGAGUGAUGAAGGUCUUCGGAUCGUAAAACUCUGUUAUUAGGGAAGAACAAACGUGUAAGUAACUGUGCACGUCUUGACGGUACCUAAUCAGAAAGCCACGGCUAACUACGUG